CUACGGGGCGCAGCAGUGAGGAAUAUUGGACAAUGGAGGCAACUCUGAUCCAGCCAUGCCGCGUGCAGGAAGACGGCCCUAUGGGUUGUAAACUGCUUUUAUACAGGAAGAAUGGUACCUACGUGUAGGUAUUUGACGGUACUGUACGAAUAAGGAUCGGCUAACUCCGUGCCAGCAGCCGCGGUAAUACGGAGGAUCCAAGCGUUAUCCGGAAUCAUUGGGUUUAAAGGGUCCGUAGGCGGUUUUUUAAGUCAGAGGUGAAAUCCUGCAGCUCAACUGUAGCAUUGCCUUUGAUACUGAAAGACUUGAGUUAUUGUGAAGUAGUUAGAAUGUGUAGUGUAGCGGUGAAAUGCAUAGAUAUUACACAGAAUACCGAUUGCGAAAGCAGAUUACUAUUAAUAUACUGACGCUCAGGGACGAAAGCGUGGGUAGCGAACAGGAUUAGAUACCCCUGUAGUC
This 459-nucleotide ribosomal RNA is filed under the name uncultured bacterium. RNAcentral's name for it is "partial 16S ribosomal RNA". It matches the Rfam family "Bacterial small subunit ribosomal RNA", at positions 339 to 795 of the family's 1533-position model. The record is from RNAcentral.